UACGUAGGGAGCAAGCGUUGUCCGGAAUCAUUGGGCGUAAAGCGCGCGUAGGUGGCCUCGUAAGUCCGCUGUGAAAGUCAAGGGCUCAACCUUUGAAAGCCGGUGGAUACUGUGAGGCUAGAGUACGGAAGAGGCGAGUGGAAUUCCUGGUGUAGCGGUGGAAUGCGCAGAUAUCAGGAGGAACACCAAUAGCGAAGGCAGCUCGCUGGGACGUUACUGACACUGAGGCGCGAAAGCGUGGGGAGCGAACAGG
Molecule: ribosomal RNA, 253 nt
Filed under: uncultured bacterium
Lineage: Bacteria
Description: partial 16S ribosomal RNA
Rfam family: Bacterial small subunit ribosomal RNA
Source: RNAcentral